This 294-nucleotide ribosomal RNA is filed under the name uncultured bacterium. RNAcentral's name for it is "partial 16S ribosomal RNA". It matches the Rfam family "Bacterial small subunit ribosomal RNA", at positions 775 to 1067 of the family's 1533-position model. The record is from RNAcentral.
GGAUUAGAUACCCUGGUAGUCCACGCCGUAAACGUUGGGCGCUAGAUGUGGGGACCAUUCCACGGUUUCCGUGUCGCAGCUAACGCAUUAAGCGCCCCGCCUGGGGAGUACGGCCGCAAGGCUAAAACUCAAAGGAAUUGACGGGGGCCCGCACAAGCGGCGGAGCAUGCGGAUUAAUUCGAUGCAACGCGAAGAACCUUACCAAGGCUUGACAUAUACGAGAACGCUCUAGAAAUAGAGAACUCUUUGGACACUCGUAUACAGGUGGUGCAUGGUUGUCGUCAGCUCGUGCCG